GUCCUUUAUAUGAAUACAGCUGUUGUGGGAGUGGGAUUGUUCGUCUAUGGGGAAUACACUCAAGUGUCAGAUACACUUUAUUGUAUUUGUGGGGUUGAAGUGCUCCCAAAGGUCACCUUCAUGCCCAUAGACUCAUUCAAUGUAAAUAUAAUCGGCCGAGUUAUAGGAACUGUCCAAGGGACCCUUACCCCUUGGUUCAGGUUAAUAAGGUCAGAGGGGGUCGCUACCCUUCUGGCAUGUGCUCUGGGGACCCUUACCCCCAGAGCAGCUCUGGGGACCCUUACCCCCAGGGCAGCCCUAGGGACCAUUACCCCUAGGGUUAUCAGAGCGGGCCUUAUAUAUACCCCGCAGGAUGAAAUAUAAGGCCAUAAAGAGUCUAUUGGGUUAAAUAUACAUAUAAUGUGACACUUAUUGUAACACGAGUACUUCACCCCCAUAACCCAUUCUCCCACACAAUAGCUGUCUGUGUAUAUUCUUAAUUCUUAGCUCAGUUAGCUGGCAGGAGAGCAAUUGUUCCAUUAAUAUUAGCUUGUAUUAAAAACCCCCGCAAAUUCUUCUUUAAAGUAAAAGUGUCUAGA
Non-coding RNA from Paramuricea clavata, 578 nucleotides. NCBI's taxonomy places the organism in Eukaryota, Metazoa, Cnidaria, Anthozoa, Malacalcyonacea, Plexauridae. The record is from the annotation of a GenBank genome assembly.